RNAcentral lists this long non-coding RNA (2353 nucleotides) under Lactuca sativa (garden lettuce). Its description in RNAcentral is "long non-coding RNA (LSAT_LNC008897)". The record is from RNAcentral. Lineage: Eukaryota; Viridiplantae; Streptophyta; Magnoliopsida; Asterales; Asteraceae.
GGUGUCAUUAGAUUUUGGAAGAAGGGCAAGGUAGGGCCCCGGUUUAUUGGCCCAUUUAGGAUUUUUGUGCCGGUGGGCAAGGUAGCCUAUCGAUUGGAUCUAUCAGUCAAGUUUAGUCAGAUCACAACACCUUCCACGAGUCUCAGCUUUGGAAGUGUGUCACCCAUGAGGUCGCAUUCAUUUCCUUGGAUGAUAUAAAGGUUGAUGAGAGCCUGAAUUACGUGGAGAGACCAAUAGUGAUUUUAGACCGGAAAACGAAAGUGCUAUGGAAUAUGGAAGUGGGGCUAGUUAAGGUACAAUAGCAGCACCGAAGGGGCACCGAAUGGACCUGGGAGCCGGAGGAUGAGAUAAGGAAGCAUUACCCGGAUCUUUUUGCAUCAGAAGACUUCGAGGAAGAACUCUAGUUCAAGUGGGGGAUAUUUGUAAUGCUUGGUCCAGGUAUUAUUUAUUUCUCAACAUUUUGGGGUUCUGGGCUGGAACUUGAUGAAUUGGGGAGCUCCAACUCAUCGUGUAGGAAUCUNGCCUAUCGGGAUAUUACCAGAGAUUUAUUCAGGACUUCUCCAAGAUUGUGGUACCUUUGACUCGCUUGACAAAGAAGAAUGUGACAUUUUAGUGGGGCCCAGAUUAACAGUCGACUUUCGAUACCUUGAGACAGAGACUAUAUGAGGCCCCGAUUUUAGCACUACCUGAGGGGUUGGAUCAUUUGGUGGUGUAUUGUGAUGUGUCUAUCACAUGGUUAGGUGUUGUUUUGAUGCAGAGGGGGCAUGUGAUCGCGUACGCCUCGAGGCAGAUGAAGCCUCAUGAGGCGAACUUCCCCACUCAUGACCUGGAAUUGGGAGCGGUGGUGUUUACCCUUAAAAUCUGGAGGCAAUACUUCUAUGGAGUUCGGUGCACCGUCUGUACUGGCCACAAAAGUUUGAAGUAUUUGAUGGAUUAGCAAAACCUUAACAUGCGGCAAAGGAGAUGGUUGUAUGUACUAAAAGAUUACAAUUGUCAGAUUUUGUACCAUCCAGGGAAGGCCGACGUAGUUGUUGAUGCUUUGAGCCGCAAGGCGGCAAGUCCUCCAAUUGGUAACGUUUGUUUGAGGAUGACAGUGAUUUCUCCAUUGUUGGAUAUGAUCAAGGAAGCUCAGGUGGAGGGUUUAAAAUGAAACUGGAAGAUAGAGUGGUUCCGGGGUUAGAUUCCUUUGUUUGUUCGGGAUGGUCGGGGCCUUUUGACACAGUGUGGUCGGGUGUGGGUACCAGUAUCUAGGGGAGUGAGGCAAAAGAUCUUGUAGGAGGCGCACAAGUCCAAGUUCUCAAUUCAUCUGGGGGCCACGAUGAUGUAGAAAGGUUUGUGGCUGAGUUACUGGUGGCCCUUCAUGAAAUAGGAGAUCGCAUGGUUAGUUGAGCGGUGCUUGACAUGUAGGAAGGUCAAGGCCGAACAUCAAAGGCCCAACAGAAAAGUUCAAACGCUACCCAUUCCCAUGUGGAAAUGGGAAGAGAUCACCAUGGCAUUCAUCACGAAGUACCCGAGGACCGCAAGGGGCGUUGACUCCAUUUGGGUCAUUGUGGAUAGAUUGACGAAAAUUGCCCAUUUUAUACUGAUCCCCAAUAGUAUUUCUACUGGGAAAUUAGCAGAUAUCUAUGUACGAGAGGUGGUGGUCAGGAACAGAGUGCCAAUAUUGGUGGUCUCGGACCGUGAUGUUCGAUUCACCUUGAGAUUCUGGAGGAAGUUCCACGAGGAACUGGGCACAUAGUUACACUUCAGCACUGUGUACCACCCCCAGAUAGACGGCCAGAGCGAGCGGACGAUCCAGACACUCGAGGAUAUGCUAUGAGCAUCCGUAUUGGAUUUUGGAGGGAUUUAGGAUACACACCUCCUACUAGCAGAGUUUUCAUAUAACAAUAGUUAUCAUACUAGUAUUGACCGACCCACGUUUGAGAUGUUGUAUGGACGAAGGUGUAAGACUCAUGUAUGUUGGGGCAAGGUAGGGCAUCGAGUCAUGGGCAGCACCGAGGUGUUUCUCAAGGCUACCGAGUUGAUCCAGCAGGUUCGCGAUUGGCUACGAGACGCACAGAUCCGUCAGAAAUGUAAUGCUGACCGGCAUCGCUCGGAUCUCGAGUUUCAAGUGGGAGCUUUUGUUUUGCUGAAAGUGUCGCUUUGGAAGGGUGUCAUUAGAUUUUGGAAGAAGGGCAAGGUAGGGCCCCGGUUUAUUGGCCCAUUUAGGAUUUUUGUGCCGGUGGGCAAGGUAGCCUAUCGAUUGGAUCUAUCAGUCAAGUUUAGUCAGAUCACAACACCUUCCACGAGUCUCAGCUUUGGAAGUGUGUCACCCAUGAGGUCGCAUUCAUUUCCUUGGAUGAUAUAAAGGUUG